RNAcentral lists this ribosomal RNA (404 nucleotides) under uncultured bacterium. RNAcentral describes it as "partial 16S ribosomal RNA". It matches the Rfam family "Bacterial small subunit ribosomal RNA", at positions 355 to 776 of the family's 1533-position model. RNAcentral also lists the same sequence under 1 other name. The record is from RNAcentral.
UGGGGAAUAUUGGACAAUGGGCGCAAGCCUGAUCCAGCCAUGCCGCGUGAGUGAUGAAGGCCUUAGGGUUGUAAAGCUCUUUCAGCGGGGAAGAUAAUGACGGUACCCGCAGAAGAAGCCCCGGCUAACUUCGUGCCAGCAGCCGCGGUAAUACGAAGGGGGCUAGCGUUGUUCGGAAUUACUGGGCGUAAAGGGCGCGUAGGCGGACUGUUAAGUCAGGGGUGAAAUCCCGGGGCUCAACCCCGGAACUGCCUUUGAUACUGGCGGUCUUGAGUUCGGGAGAGGUGAGUGGAAUUCCGAGUGUAGAGGUGAAAUUCGUAGAUAUUCGGAGGAACACCAGUGGCGAAGGCGGCUCACUGGCCCGAUACUGACGCUGAGGCGCGAAAGCGUGGGGAGCAAACAGG